UGAAGAUACCGUUCACAUUGUUGUUCCUGGCGCACACAACUCUGAAAUGUAGCUUCAAAAAAUUGUUGAAAUAAUCAACGACAACCAGUUCAGAUAUGACAAGUCACCAGCUACGAUCGAAAAGGCACAAAAAGAUGGAAUACCUGACCUGCAAGUGAAGGUU
Molecule: long non-coding RNA, 163 nt
Organism: Helianthus annuus (common sunflower)
Lineage: Eukaryota; Viridiplantae; Streptophyta; Magnoliopsida; Asterales; Asteraceae
Exons: 3
Source: RefSeq, a predicted model, not a curated record